RNAcentral lists this ribosomal RNA (253 nucleotides) under uncultured bacterium. Its description in RNAcentral is "partial 16S ribosomal RNA". It matches the Rfam family "Bacterial small subunit ribosomal RNA", at positions 524 to 776 of the family's 1533-position model. The record is from RNAcentral.
UACGCAGGGUGCAAGCGUUAAUCGGAAUUACUGGGCGUAAAGCGUGCGCAGGCGGUUGUGCAAGACCUAUGUGAAAUCCCCGGGCUUAACCUGGGAAUGGCAUUGGUGACUGCACGGCUAGAGUGUGUCAGAGGGGGGUAGAAUUCCACGUGUAGCAGUGAAAUGCGUAGAGAUGUGGAGGAAUACCGAUGGCGAAGGCAGCCCCCUGGGAUAACACUGACGCUCAUGCACGAAAGCGUGGGGAGCAAACAGG